CAGCCCCCAAAUCCCACAGGAGACUCGAAGUAAAAUCAGGGAUUUUGUUGGAAUUCCCAGGUUUUUCCCAAGUUUGGGGAAUCCCGCUGGGAAUUUGGGUUCCGGAAGGUUCCGGCUCAGGAGAAUUCCCGCAGGAAUUGGGAGUGGAAUCGGAGCAGGAGCAGCAGAGCUCGAUCCAGAGCCGGCGGCGGCAGCAGCAGAGACAGCCUGGGAACGGCAGAGGAAUGAAAUCCCAAAAAUCCCCAAAUCCCAAAUCCCAAAAAUCCCAAAUCCUCAAAUUCCGGAGUCAGCAAAUCCCAAAAUCCCAAAAAUCCCAAAUCCCCAAAUCCCAAAUCCCCAAAUCCCGAAUCCCAAAAAUCCCAAAUCCUCAAAUCCCAAAAUCCCCAAAUCCCAAAUCCCAAAAAUCCACAAAUUCCAAAUCCCGAAAAUCCCAAAAAUCCCCAAAUCCCAAAUCCCAAAAAUCCCAAAUCCUCAAAUUCCAGAGUCACAAAAUCCCAAAAUCCCAAAAAAUCCCAAAUCCCCAAAUCCCAAAUCCCAAAAAUCCACAAAUCCUCAAAUCCAAAAUCCUGAAUCCCAAAAAUCCCAAAUCCCAAAAAUCCCAAAUCCUCAAAUUCCAGAGUCACAAAAUCCCAAAAUCCCAAAAAUCCACAAAUUCCGGAGUCACAAAAUCCCAAAAAUCCCAAAUCCCAAAACCCCAAAAAUCCACAAAUUCCAGAGUCACAAAAUCCCAAAAAUCCCCAAAUCCCAAAUCCUCAAAUUCCAGUCAGCAAAUCCCAAAAUCCCAAAAAUCCCAAAUCCCCAAAUCCCAAAUCCCAAAAAUCCACAAAUUCCAAAUUCCGAAAAUCCCAAAAAUCCCCAAAUCCCAAAAUCCCAAAAAUCCCAAAUCCUCAAAUUCCAGUCAGCAAAUCCCAAAAUCCCAAAAAAUCCCAAAUCCCCAAAUCCCAAAUCCCAAAAAUCCCCAAAUCCUCAAAUCCAAAAUCCUGAAUCCCAAAAAUCCCAAAUCCUCAAAUCCCAAAUCCCAAAAAUCCCAAAUCCUCAAAUUCCGGAGUCAGCAAAUCCCAAAAUCCCAAAAAAUCCCAAAUCCCCAAAUCCCAAAAAUCCCAAAAAUCCACAAAUUCCAAAUCCCAAAAAUCCCAAAUCCCCAGUCCCAAAAUUCCCAAAAAUCCCCAAAUCCCAAAUCCCAAAAAUCCCAAAUCCUCAAAUUCCGGAGUCAGCAAAUCCCAAAAUCCCAAAAAUCCCAAAUCCCAAAAUCCCAAAAUCCACAAAAUCCACAAAUUCCAGAGUCACAAAAUCCCAAAAAUCCCCAAAUCCCAAAUCCCCAAAAAUUCACAAAUUCCGGAGUCAGCA
RNAcentral lists this long non-coding RNA (1347 nucleotides) under Parus major (Great Tit). RNAcentral describes it as "lncRNA (ENSPMJG00000002174.1)". The record is from RNAcentral. Lineage: Eukaryota; Metazoa; Chordata; Aves; Passeriformes; Paridae.